GUAAUGAGCACCUUUUUCUUGCUUCCUGCGUUUGCGCUUGUUGCAGAUCUUGACGGUGCACACGGAGAGGAUGAUUGCCACGAUAAAGAAGAGAAUCCCCCCCACCAGGGCUGCUGUUAUUGCCUGCGAGGAAAAGGAAACAGUGGGCAUCGAAGGACACCGUGGGGGAGUGUGAGUAGCUCCUCAGGGUCUUGGAGUAAACACGGAAGUGGUACUUCUUCCCAGACUGCAGCUUCUUGACUGGAGGGGAGCAAGGAAAGGAAGCCCAGGCACACCAACAGUCAUCCUCCUACGCUGUUCCUGAUGGAUCCUUCAGCCAUGUUCAGAGCAGUGCAGUUUAUUCUAACACAGGAAUGAAUGCAGCACAGGAUGAGUCCAGGGAAGACAUCACCACAACACCCUACAGUAUGCAGAACAUCAACUGGUCACUGACGAGUCAUUCUUUUUGUGUCCAAACUACUGUACAACUCAACUGUGGCCAGGAAGUAGCUGCCAAUACAAACUAUGAACAAAAUAAAAGACUAAUAAAAAGUAUUCAACUCAAUGACAGUAAAACGGAACUCAAAGAUCUUUAAAAGUGUGUAGUGAAAUUUCCUUCAUUUCGGCAAGAAGCUUUGUAGAAUGAUAAAGCCUCCCUUCACUCACUGCCAUCCGCACAACAAUCCUAAAACAUAGCUAUGUACUGCAUCUGCAUCCAAGAAGGUAUUUUCUCACAUACCCAUGGGUACAUUUCUACAUGAAGAUAUACUAUGUGAUCUCUCAUUCUUGCUAGGAUAAAAAUAUUGUCAGAUCUAUCAUCCAUUUUAACUCAAUGGUUUUCUAUAAUGCUAUUUUACUACAUAAUUUCAACUAUGUACAACUGCAUCAAGAAAUGUCUUUUCCCACCCACCCAGGACUACAUUUCUACAAUAUAAUCUACACUGCAGGACCCGUCAUCCACCUAGAAUGGAAAUGACUGAUCUUUCGCUGUACAACUGAACUCUUGCCCCAAGUGUUCACUAAGAUGUCUUUAGUAGCCCUGUCAUUCCUCCAAGUAUUAAAACUAUAUUACUUUCCCUCCAAGAACUGUAGUUAUGUACAGUGCAUGCAUCAUUAUUGCACCAGCUGCUUUUCCUCACACUGCUUCCUACUCUGAACUACCCUAACUUUUGCAUUCCCUUCCAUUUUCCUUGUGUCAGAGAUCAGCAGCCUUGAUGAAUCCUUCGAGGCAUUCAUCACUUGUAUCUCCUUUUUUACUGUUAUCUCUCCUUCAGAGUAUCUCUAAAAUGCAUCUCGUGCUUCCCUCCCAAUCUUCCAUCAGAGGUUUCUACACUCAUUCAUGCCGUGACACCAAGACUCAUGUUUGCACCUUCAAUUCUUCGCACUCUUCCCUAGCAGCCUUUCUCUCACCAUUCACACAACAUCACUUCAACUUUUCACAGAACUAAGGGUGAGUGACUGGGUCAAAUGAGGAAACAAGUGAGGCACCACAA
This is a long non-coding RNA of Eriocheir sinensis (Chinese mitten crab), 1472 nucleotides long. RefSeq lists it as uncharacterized. The record is from RefSeq and is a predicted model, not a curated record. The transcript has 3 exons. NCBI's taxonomy places the organism in Eukaryota, Metazoa, Arthropoda, Malacostraca, Decapoda, Varunidae.